AUUUUCAUAUUAUCUUAAUUAGUAUUAUAGCUAAUCUUUAUUAAUAAAAUUAAUUAAUUAAUGUUUUAUUAUUGUCUAAGUGCAAGUAAUUCAAGAGAUUCAAUAAUGCUGGGUUUCAGCCCAAUGCCUGUCAGCUCGAGCUCAACAAAUUCUCCAGUGUCCGUGAUGAGGCGACUCAACAGUUCCUAACCUAAAAUUCCCAUGUAUCUACAUCAACGGGCUGAAGCAAGUGAUUUCCCAACAUCUUCAAGUGUCCCCGAGCCGUCUCGAGAGUCCCAAAGCAAUUCAAUUGCUUCUCAAACCAAGUAUCCGUUUCCCAGCAAC
This 324-nucleotide long non-coding RNA is filed under the name Phoenix dactylifera (date palm). Its description in RNAcentral is "long non-coding RNA (PDAC_LNC007540)". Lineage: Eukaryota; Viridiplantae; Streptophyta; Magnoliopsida; Arecales; Arecaceae. The record is from RNAcentral.